UGGGGAAUAUUGGACAAUGGGCGCGAGCCUGAUCCAGCCAUGCCGCGUGAGUGAUGAAGGCCCUAGGGUUGUAAAGCUCUUUCACCGGUGAAGAUAAUGACGGUAACCGGAGAAGAAGCCCCGGCUAACUUCGUGCCAGCAGCCGCGGUAAUACGAAGGGGGCUAGCGUUGUUCGGAUUUACUGGGCGUAAAGCGCACGUAGGCGGACUUUUAAGUCAGGGGUGAAAUCCCGGGGCUCAACCCCGGAACUGCCUUUGAUACUGGAAGUCUUGAGUAUGGUAGAGGUGAGUGGAAUUCCGAGUGUAGGGGUGAAAUCCGUAGAUAUUCGGAGGAACACCAGGGGCGGAGGCGGCUCACUGGACCAUUACUGACGCUGAGGUGCGAAAGCGUGGGGAGCAAACAGG
This 404-nucleotide ribosomal RNA is filed under the name Actinomycetes bacterium. Its description in RNAcentral is "Actinobacteria bacterium partial 16S ribosomal RNA". It matches the Rfam family "Bacterial small subunit ribosomal RNA", at positions 355 to 776 of the family's 1533-position model. The record is from RNAcentral. Lineage: Bacteria; Bacillati; Actinomycetota; Actinomycetes.